Paramuricea clavata is the source of this 983-nucleotide non-coding RNA. The record is from the annotation of a GenBank genome assembly. Lineage: Eukaryota; Metazoa; Cnidaria; Anthozoa; Malacalcyonacea; Plexauridae.
AUAGGCACAGGUAGCCUGGUUACGGCAACAGAAAUAUCAGCAGAAAGGAAGGCAACCGUUGUUGGAAAGCCAGGGACGUUAAUUAUGGAUUGUAUAGUACACCAGUGAGUUGCUCUGUUUUAAAUGAUGUGUAAUUGACUAGACCAGUUGACUAUUGCAGAUCUGAUGAAAUCUGGGGCGGGAUGACAAUCUGGAUACUCCCAGUUUUCAAGACGUCUUCAAAUAAGCGACUAUAUCAAUAAUACAUCCUUAAAAUAAUCCUAUUUAUUGAUUUUUUUUUAUAAAAGGUUUUUUUUUGUCUUAUAGGAACGUGUACAUGCAUGAUGAAUUAAGCGAGUUUUCAGAUUCUGUGUCGCGAGUAGAAAUGUGGCUAUGCAAAACCCUGCAAACCUCCCCCCCCCCACUCCGCAUCACGUCUUAUAUUAUUCUUGCUAAUAAAAAUAGGAAUGGGGUUACCUCUCCAGUUCUCUGCUCUGUACGACUCAUGUAUACACUAUACAUCAUACUAUUUUUCCAACUUUUGCAGACACAACAUUGAUCCGCAAAAAGCGUGUAUGAUUGGUGAUAAGUAAGUAUUGAAACAUCUGAUUGUGUAUUUUUAGAGUCGUCAAAUUUUGUGUAACAUUAACAGCCUCUUACCCAGGCGCUCAGUAAAGAAAAUCGCGCAAAGCACUUUAGUGUUAUAUAUAGAUCAGUGAUUAAGCUGAGCGAGCGCGCUGGAGUGCGACAAGAUAAAUUUCCAUCGCGUCCUCCCCAAGCACCCUCGCGCGUUCGCAUAGCUUACCCACUGGUCUAUAUAUAGCACUGAAGUGCAUAGCACGCUUUUCCUUCUUAGGCGCCUACGUAAGAGGCUGGAACAUUAAAAUGAUAUAUCUUAUACAAUCGUACAACUAUAGACAGUUUUCGUUGGAGUAUAAUAAUAAUAAUAAUGAAAACUUUAUUGAAUUUUUUUGCACUUAUAAUUGAAAAUCUCACUGUUAAAG